GACCGGUUCUAGAUAGCAUGCAUGUAUAAGUUCACACCUUUAUAUGGUGAAACCGCGAAUGGCUCAUUAAAUCAGCUAUGGUUCCUUAGAUCUUACAAUCCUACUUGGAUAACUGUGGUAAUUCUAGAGCUAAUACAUGCCAACUAAUCCCUGACUUUAUAGGAAGGGUGGAUUUAUUAGAACAAAACCAACCGGCUUUGCCGUUGGCUUGAUGACUCUGGAUAACUUUUCUGAUCGCACGGCCUAGCGCCAGCGACGUAUCUUUCAAAUGUCUGCCCUAUCAACUAUCGAUGGUAGGUGAUAUGCCUACCAUGGUGAUGACGGGUAACGGGGAAUCAGGGUUCGAUUCCGGAGAGGGAGCCUUAGAAAUGGCUACCACAUCUAAGGAAGGCAGCAGGCGCGCAAAUUACCCACUCUCAGCUCGAGGAGGUAGUGACGAAAAAUAACGGGAUGGGUCUCUAUGAGGCUUCAUCAUUGGAAUGAGUACAAUUUAAAUCCUU
This 500-nucleotide ribosomal RNA is filed under the name uncultured eukaryote. Its description in RNAcentral is "SSU rRNA". It matches the Rfam family "Eukaryotic small subunit ribosomal RNA", at positions 34 to 534 of the family's 1831-position model. The record is from RNAcentral.